Molecule: ribosomal RNA, 468 nt
Filed under: uncultured bacterium
Lineage: Bacteria
Description: partial 16S ribosomal RNA
Rfam family: Bacterial small subunit ribosomal RNA
Source: RNAcentral
GACGAACGCUGGCGGCGUGCUUAACACAUGCAAGUCGAACGGAAAGGCCCUGCUUUUGUGGGGUGCUCGUGUGGCGAACGUGUGAGUAACACGUGAGUAACCUGCCCUUGACUGUGGGAUAACUUCAGGAAACUGGGGCUAAUACCGGAUAGGAGCUCCUGCUGCAUGGUGGGGGUUGGAAAGUUUCGGCGGUUGGGGAUGGACUCGCGGCUUAUCAGCUUGUUGGUUGGGUAGUGGCUUACCAAGGCUUUGACGGGUAGCCGGCCUGAGAGGGUGACCGGCCACAUUGGGACUGAGAUACGGCCCAGACUCCUACGGGAGGCAGCAGUGGGGAAUAUUGCACAAUGGGCGGAAGCCUGAUGCAGCAACGCCGCGUGCGGGAUGACGGCCUUCGGGUUGUAAACCGCUUUCGCCUGUGACGAAGCGUGAGUGACGGUAAUGGGUAAAGAAGCACCGGCUAACUACGUG